RNAcentral lists this unclassified non-coding RNA (238 nucleotides) under Hevea brasiliensis (rubber tree). Lineage: Eukaryota; Viridiplantae; Streptophyta; Magnoliopsida; Malpighiales; Euphorbiaceae. The record is from RNAcentral.
UUUGCUUAUUGUGCUAUAUUUCCUAAACAUUAUGAAUUUGACAAGGAAGACUUAGUUCUUCUAUGGAUGGCCGAGGGCUUUCUAGCCCAACCUGUAGGAAGCAAGGAUAUGAAAGAAGUUGGUAACGAUUGCUUUGAUGAUCUUGUGUCGAGGUCACUUUUCCAACGAUCUAAAGGUCGUGGAUCUUGCUUUGUUAUGCAUGAUCUCAUUAACGACUUAGCUAAAUUUGUUUCUGGAG